RNAcentral lists this long non-coding RNA (374 nucleotides) under Physcomitrium patens. Its description in RNAcentral is "long non-coding RNA (PPAT_LNC001413)". Lineage: Eukaryota; Viridiplantae; Streptophyta; Bryopsida; Funariales; Funariaceae. The record is from RNAcentral.
AUCCGUGUUGCCGUGAUAUAAGGUUGUCCUAAAAUCAACGGAUAAGACGUUGUAUCUUGAACGAAGAAAUGUUGCUCCGUCACAACAUCCCCAAUCCGAAUUUUGACAUCUGGACAAGCUCCAUAUAAUUCGCCUCGUGUGUUAUUAGCUGCUCGUAUUGCCCAUCCAUGUUCUAUAUCAAUUGGCCAUUUUUGCUUCUUAUAAAGAUCUUUAGACAUGAGAUUUAUUUCAAAACCAUGGUCGACCAAAGCAACUAUUGGUUCAUCUAUAUCUCCUACCUUCACCAAUACCUCAGUAGUUGUCCUUGCCCAAUGCUUUCGAGUAUAAUGGCUCAAAGUUUCCAUUUCCUUGUCACUAGAAUCUUCGAAACGUAC